RNAcentral lists this unclassified non-coding RNA (193 nucleotides) under uncultured Inocybe. RNAcentral's name for it is "sequence contains ITS1". The record is from RNAcentral. Lineage: Eukaryota; Fungi; Basidiomycota; Agaricomycetes; Agaricales; Cortinariaceae.
UUGAAUAAACAUUUGAUAGGCUGUUGCUGGCCCUUCUAGGGUAGUGUGCACGCUUGUCAUUUAUUUGUUUAUUUUUCCACCUGUGCACCUUUCUGUAGACCCUUAGGAUUUUAUAACAUUUUCUUUGGUCGCUCGCGGCCAAAAUUUAACACAUCAAGAAUAAAUUGUCUGAAACUGAAUAAAAAAUUAUUCA